Non-coding RNA from Lolium perenne, 3038 nucleotides. Lineage: Eukaryota; Viridiplantae; Streptophyta; Magnoliopsida; Poales; Poaceae. The record is from RefSeq and is a predicted model, not a curated record.
CCCCAACAGCAGAAGCUAGCAAAGCCCACAAAUGACGGAAACGUUCAGAAGAAAAACAAAGUUCUUGGAAUCCGCCGCCGACGAACCCUUUCCCCUCCCGCCCCGGCCGCUCCGGUGGCGGAAACCACCGCCGGCCAUGUCGAACUACUCCAGCCACGUCAUGGAGCUACGCGAGCUCACCGCGGGCUACUCCUCCGCCGCCGGCCUGGCCCGGCCUCCGCCCACUUCAAGGCCAAGCUGUGCGAGGUCCUCCCCAGCCUCCUCCGCGACCAUGUCCUCCCCUCCCCCACCGCGAACGAGAGGGAGACCACUGCGGUGCUGAAGCUGCUCACAUACACGGCGCGCCGGUUCCCCGGGGUCUUCUUCAACGGCCGCCCCGCCGAGGUCGUCCGCGUCAUCGGCCACAUCCUCCCCUUCUUCGCAGACCCCGACUACCAGUCUGGAGACACUGAACUAUUUGAAGAUGAAGCUCGGUUGAUUGGUGACUGUGGUGAAGACUAUGGUUAUCCCGCUUAUGUUGAUCUCAUCAGUUUGCUGAAACGGAUGUGGUCUGAUGGUCAUUCCACUCAAGCAUGUUUGGACUGGAAGUUAAAAUGCCUUAUGGUACAAUUUAUUGCCAAGAUUGACGGUAGACUGAAUACCGAAUGUUACCUGGAAGUCCUUGAACUGGCUAUCCAUAGUUGAUAUGCUGAGGUUCAAAAUGAAGCCCUUAUGUCACUACCCAUUAUUGUCCUGUACUCUGGUGAUGUUCAAGAAACUUGAGUUGUUUGGCGAUUUAGGAUCUGAGAAAGUGUGGAAAUGCCUUGCCUUUUCACUUGGUUUCCUCUCUUGUUUAAAUGGAACCACUAAUGUUACUGACAAAGCAGGGAGCAGUUGCAAGCUGUUCUUGGACAAGCACUCAAAACAACCAGUCUCAACAUUACAUCUUCUCUUAAAAUAUUUCUGUUGUCCUCAGUGUGAUAUCAAAACUGUCAAUACUAUUUCUACUGUGGACUGCAAGCUGGGAUUGUUGACUUGAAAAUAACAUGUUGAAGGCCCACAUACUUUUCUUCAAGUUCCUCUAUGCACAGACUUCCAGAUGAAGUGGGAAUGGAGGGGGCACCAAAGAAGUCAACUUCAUGGACAAAACAAAGCAUGCUUUUGCACAAGCUGAAGAUUCUCACGUGACUCUUUUGGAAUCAACUGCUACAGUUAUGCAAGCCAGUGAUACUCAAGGAGAUGCUUUUUUCUGCUCAUUUGUAUUGCUUAUUGCUCAGCUUGAUAACCCCGAUCCCAUCGUAAGGAAGAACACAUCGAGAUUACUUCACAGAGGCUGCACUUACUGUUUCAAAGGAGGAAUAGAACUUUUCCUCUCGAAGAACUUCCGUGUUAGAGAUAAUUUAUAUGAUUACCUUUCAUCUAGACUUUUGAGUCAUCCUGCAGUGGUCAGUGAAUUUGCUGAGGCUGUUCUUGGGAUUAAGACUGCAGAGCCGAUUAGGAGGAUGGUUCCAUUAGUCAUACCAAAGCUGAACCAGCUGCAUGGUUUCAUGCCAGAUUGGCUGAUGCACACACUGCUGCAGUCUGGUCGAUGGUUGGGCACAUUGUUGGGCUCGGUGACAGGCAUGGUGAAAACAUCCUUAUUGACUCGACAACCGGGGACUGUGUCCAUGUGGAUUUUUCAGUUGCCUGUUUUAGAAGGGGUUGCUGCUUGAGAAGCCUAAGGUGGUGCCGUUUAGGCUUACACAAAGCAUGAUUGAUGGCUUGGGCAUCGCUGGAUAUGAAGGCAUCUUUCUAAAGGUAUGUGAGAUCACUCUGUCGGUCCUCAGGGGUCACAAGGAGGCGCUCAUGACUGUCCUCGAGACCUUCAUCCACGACGCACUGGUGGACCAAAACCAGCAAAUCCAGCGGAGGUGAGGUCCGCAACCCACAGGCACUGGGCCAUCACUAACAUCACGGCAAGGCUCUAGGGAGUCGUGGUGGGUGUCAACGCGGCCCCCUCCCUGCCACUCUCCGUGGAAGGCCAGGCGCACCGCCUGAUUGCUGAAGUGGUCUCCCACAAAAACCUCGGCAAGAUGUACAUCUGGUGGAUGCCCUGGUUCUAACACUCUAACAGGCAUGAUGAUGACAAAGCAGCCGAGGCAGCACAAGGGUUUUUGAAGUGUUGUGUUCCCAUGAGAGAAUGUAGCUUGUCUGGAGCAAGCACUUCGAGUGGCGCAUACGGGCUUCACACGUCUCUGCAGUCGGGAGGAUACUCCUAACCUCGAUGACGCAGCUUAGUUUCAACAUGUUUGGCUUCUGUGCUGCCAUUGUUGGCUCCUCGCCACAUCCACAAAGACCCAUCUUAUCGCUGCUGCUUUACUGCAUUAACACAGUGUACUACAUGGCAUCCUUUGCCAACAUGAUAUCUGACAUGAAGAGGUGGAUGCGGCAUGCUGCUCAUGUCGCUGUCGCACGGUGGCUAGUUCACCUAUGUCGGCUGCCAAGAAGAAUUUAUGUAUUGUAGCAGGAUUUCUGCAGAGCACAGAAUAUGCAUCUGAUAUCAUUUUGACUCCGCUUUGCACAAAGUUGCAGAUUGAUUCCCUUAAGGAGGUCAUUGCCCAGGCCGUGGCGGAUGCCAAGGAGAAGAACAUCAAGUUCACCGAGGCCAUCCGUUGAGCUCCUGAUCGGGCUCAAGAACCAUGACCAGCAAAAAGGCAAGCGGCACCAUCAGGCUGGCUGAAGAUGAGGGUCUGCAUGCUCAAAGCCCGCAAUAAAGUGAUGGACAGAUGAGCUUCUUUGACGAAGGGAUCGUCGGAUGUGACGCUGAAGCGGUACAUGGAGUAGCAGACUGCCGUGGCUCGUGAAUGCGAGAAGUGGAUGCAUGCAGCCCUGAUGCGGCAGCGGCAGCCGCAGCCGCAAGGGAGAAGUGGAGCCGGAGCAGUAUGCUAGAUAAGAAACAGUACGUUGCCAGCUUUGCUAGUUCAUGUACCGCUUUUAUGUUGCCCGGAUGACAUGCUUUUUGUUUCUUAUAUCGGACAGACUUUUAAUCUUUUGUUUAAUAUAUUCGAAUUUUGUGAAAA